Molecule: ribosomal RNA, 719 nt
Filed under: Lacticaseibacillus rhamnosus
Lineage: Bacteria; Bacillati; Bacillota; Bacilli; Lactobacillales; Lactobacillaceae
Description: bacterial SSU rRNA
Source: RNAcentral
UAGCGGUGAAAUGCGUAGAUAUAUGGAAGAACACCAGUGGCGAAGGCGGCUGUCUGGUCUGUAACUGACGCUGAGGCUCGAAAGCAUGGGUAGCGAACAGGAUUAGAUACCCUGGUAGUCCAUGCCGUAAACGAUGAAUGCUAGGUGUUGGAGGGUUUYCGCCCUUCAGUGCCGCAGCUAACGCAUUAAGCAUUCCGCCUGGGGAGUACGACCGCAAGGUUGAAACUCAAAGGAAUUGACGGGGGCCCGCACAAGCGGUGGAGCAUGUGGUUUAAUUCGAAGCAACGCGAAGAACCUUACCAGGUCUUGACAUCUUUUGAUCACCUGAGAGAUCRGGUUUCCCCUUCGGGGGCAAAAUGACAGGUGGUGCAUGGUUGUCGUCAGCUCGUGUCGUGAGAUGUUGGGUUAAGUCCCGCAACGAGCGCAACCCUUAUGACUAGUUGCCAGCAUUUAGUUGGGCACUCUAGUAAGACUGCCGGUGACAAACCGGAGGAAGGUGGGGAUGACGUCAAAUCAUCAUGCCCCUUAUGACCUGGGCUACACACGUGCUACAAUGGAUGGUACAACGAGUUGCGAGACCGCGAGGUCAAGCUAAUCUCUUAAAGCCAUUCUCAGUUCGGACUGUAGGCUGCAACUCGCCUACACGAAGUCGGAAUCGCUAGUAAUCGCGGAUCAGCACGCCGCGGUGAAUACGUUCCCGGGCCUUGUACACACCGCCC